CCUACGGGAGACAGCAGUGGGGGAUAUUGGACAAUGGGGGGAACCCUGAUCCAGCGACGCCGCGUGAGUGAAGAAGUAUUUCGGUAUGUAAAGCUCUGUCAGCAGGGAAGAAAGCAAUGACGGUACCUGACCAAGAAGCCCCGGCUAACUACGUGCCAGCAGCCGCGGUAAUACGUAGGGGGCAAGCGUGAUCCGGAAUUACUGGGUGUAAAGGGAGCGUAGACGGCUGUGCAAGUCUGAAGUGAAAGCCCGUGGCUCAACCGCGGAACUGCUUUGGAAACUGGAUAGCUUGAGUACGGGAGAGGCAGGCGGAAUUCCUAGUGUAGCGGUGAAAUGCGUAGAUAUUAGGAGGAACACCAGUGGCGAAGGCGGCCUGCUGGACAGAAACUGACGUUGAGGCUCGAAAGCGUGGGGAGCAAACAGGAUUAGAUACCCCUGUAGUC
RNAcentral lists this ribosomal RNA (443 nucleotides) under uncultured bacterium. Its description in RNAcentral is "partial 16S ribosomal RNA". It matches the Rfam family "Bacterial small subunit ribosomal RNA", at positions 338 to 795 of the family's 1533-position model. The record is from RNAcentral.